Molecule: ribosomal RNA, 400 nt
Filed under: uncultured Glomeromycotina
Lineage: Eukaryota; Fungi; Glomeromycota
Description: SSU rRNA
Rfam family: Eukaryotic small subunit ribosomal RNA
Source: RNAcentral
CGCAGCCGCGGUAAAUUCCAGCUCCAAUAGCGUAUAUUAAAGUUGUUGCAGUUAAAAAGCUCGUAGUUGAAUUUCGGGGUCAGCAGGUUGGUCGUGCCACUGGUAUGCACUGGCUUCGCUGAUUCCUCCUUUCUGAAGAACUGUAAUGCCAUUAAUUUGGUGUUGCAGGGAAACAGGACUGUUACUUUGAAAAAUUAGAGUGUUUAAAGCAGGCUAACGCUUGAAUACAUUAGCAUGGAAUAAUGAAAUAGGACGUUCGACCCUAUUUUGUUGGUUUCUAGGAUUGACGUAAUGAUUAAUAGGGAUAGUUGGGGGCAUUAGUAUUCAAUUGUCAGAGGUGAAAUUCUUGGAUUUAUUGAAGACUAACUACUGCGAAAGCAUAUACCAAGGAUGUUUUACA